CCGGACGCCUGGCUGCCGGGGGAGGCAGAGCCCACGGGCUUGUGGGUAAGCUGUCCUGCUGCACAUCUGGACCCCCUCUCCCCUCAGAGAUCGUCCACACAAGCAAGGAAGCACAACAGAUUUGUGCAAAGCAAAGACAUUAUUCUGAAGCCUACACGGCUUCCUGCCUUUCAGAGUCGAUGAGUUCAGAGCUAUGAGGUUGGGGACGAGACAGGCGGCGCGAGGCAUUUCUACAUAGCAAAGUCACUUC
This is a long non-coding RNA of Perognathus longimembris pacificus (Pacific pocket mouse), 250 nucleotides long. RefSeq lists it as uncharacterized. Lineage: Eukaryota; Metazoa; Chordata; Mammalia; Rodentia; Heteromyidae. The record is from RefSeq and is a predicted model, not a curated record. The transcript is spliced from 3 exons.